This 492-nucleotide ribosomal RNA is filed under the name uncultured bacterium. Its description in RNAcentral is "bacterial SSU rRNA". It matches the Rfam family "Bacterial small subunit ribosomal RNA", at positions 28 to 520 of the family's 1533-position model. The record is from RNAcentral.
GAUGAACGCUAGCGGCAGGCCUAACACAUGCAAGUCGAGGGGUAGUUACUUUCGGGUAAUGAGACCGGCGCACGGGUGCGUAACGCGUAUGCAAUCUACCUUUUACAGGGGAAUAGCCCAGAGAAAUUUGGAUUAAUACCUCAUAGUAUGUGAGAAUCGCAUGGUUUUCACAUUAAAGUUCCAACGGUAAAAGAUGAGCAUGCGUCCCAUUAGCUAGAUGGUAAGGUAACGGCUUACCAUGGCGACGAUGGGUAGGGGUCCUGAGAGGGAGAUCCCCCACACUGGUACUGAGACACGGACCAGACUCCUACGGGAGGCAGCAGUGAGGAAUAUUGGACAAUGGGCGCAAGCCUGAUCCAGCCAUGCCGCGUGCAGGAUGACGGUCCUAUGGAUUGUAAACUGCUUUUGUACAGGAAGAAACACUCCCUCGUGAGGGAGCGUUGACGGUACUGUAAGAAUAAGGAUCGGCUAACUCCGUGCCAGCAGCCGCGU